Long non-coding RNA from Megalobrama amblycephala (Wuchang bream), 454 nucleotides. RefSeq lists it as uncharacterized. The record is from RefSeq and is a predicted model, not a curated record. The transcript has 3 exons. Lineage: Eukaryota; Metazoa; Chordata; Actinopteri; Cypriniformes; Xenocyprididae.
CAGAUCCAGUUCUGGCUGCAUCUAUAAUUCAGAUUUUUAAAUCUCCAUGGCCCUGAAGUCUCUGUUUGUCAGCAUCAGUCACAUAACUUGGAAGAUGGGACAGGAUUUGCCACAGAGUAAUUACAGAGCCCUUCCAACAGAACAGGAGCAACGUUGCAGAAAGUGUCCUCAUGUGGUGACCGCCAGCAUUGGUACAGCAAUUAAUGCCAAACUUACUGAAAUUAGAGCGAAGAAAACACAAAAACAUCUGAAAACCUUAAUGGUCUUUGAUGAUUGAUAGCCGUGAUAGUGUGUUCAAGGUAUUUUGUUGUUGUUGUUGGGGUGUGUGUGUGUGUGUGUGUGUUUUGCCUUCGCAAAGUUCAGUUUGAUAUCAAGUUGUAAUUUUAAAUUAUUCUUGUGGAGUAUAAUUUGAUUCUCUUUGAUUGUGUUGAAAUAAAAGUAUUUCUAAUGUAAA